Molecule: transfer RNA, 71 nt
Filed under: Enterobacter hormaechei
Lineage: Bacteria; Pseudomonadati; Pseudomonadota; Gammaproteobacteria; Enterobacterales; Enterobacteriaceae
Description: tRNA-Thr(ggt)
Rfam family: tRNA
About the family: Transfer RNA (tRNA) molecules are approximately 80 nucleotides in length. Their secondary structure includes four short double-helical elements and three loops (D, anti-codon, and T loops).
Source: RNAcentral
CUGAUAUGGCUCAGUUGGUAGAGCGCACCCUUGGUAAGGGUGAGGUCCCCAGUUCGACUCUGGGUAUCNUG